UUGAGAAAUAAAGUUCAUGUUAUUAUUUUGCAGGAAUUCUAAGGGCCAUGAUAUGGCAAAAAAGUAUGUGAACAAACAAAAGAAACAUAGAAAGGGUCUGAUGCUGCUACUUCACAUGGCCAGAGGAAGAUGAUGGAUGAAUUUGGGAAGGUGAAGCAACAAUUGGUAGAGUACGUGAUCAUGUCACGGCCCAUAUCCCGCAAGCUUGGUCUCUAGCGAUUUGAAACCCUAACUCUUAAGUCUUGAGAUAAUUGACAUUUUUUUUUUCAUAACAGUUGGAGCAAGAUUAUUGUUGGCUUCUAGAAGAUUGUUGUCAUUGAGAACCUUCAUCAAUUUGGGGUGGGACAACAUUCCAUUCUGUUGCAAGAAGUGUACUAUAGUUAUAAGGAAAAAAAAACAUGUAAUUAAGGAACUAUUUGUGUGUCAGACAGACCAUGUAAUUAUUUAGUCCUCAUGGAAUGAAAUUGAGUUUAAUUUACUUGAGAAAUUUCAGUCUUGAAUAUGUUGUUUGUAUAUAUUUGCAAGUGUAUGCAAUGGAAAAAUACUUUUAUUUAUAUUAUUAAUUGAAGAGAGCACAUUAUAUACAUUAUGUGUAUAUAUAGCUCAUUCUUCUUGCCUUUGUAGGAUGGCAAUGGGUCAAAUCGGGGGUGGGUAUGCCAUUCCCAUCCCCAUCCCCGUGAAGCUUUUUUCCCCCAUCCCCACAUUCAUACCCACAAUACAGACUUGAAAAAAAAAAAAAGGAUAUACGAGGGCAAUAC
Molecule: long non-coding RNA, 758 nt
Organism: Prunus persica (peach)
Lineage: Eukaryota; Viridiplantae; Streptophyta; Magnoliopsida; Rosales; Rosaceae
Exons: 2
Source: RefSeq, a predicted model, not a curated record